GGCGACAUAGCCAAGUGGCAAAGGCAGAUGAUUGCAAAUCUUCUAUCCCCAGUUCGAGUCUGGGUGUCGCCU
RNAcentral lists this transfer RNA (72 nucleotides) under Microrhizoidea pickettheapsiorum. Its description in RNAcentral is "tRNA-Cys". It matches the Rfam family "tRNA". From Rfam's summary of the family: Transfer RNA (tRNA) molecules are approximately 80 nucleotides in length. Their secondary structure includes four short double-helical elements and three loops (D, anti-codon, and T loops). Further hydrogen bonds mediate the characteristic L-shaped molecular structure. tRNAs have two regions of fundamental functional importance: the anti-codon, which is responsible for specific mRNA codon recognition, and the 3' end, to which the tRNAs corresponding amino acid is attached (by aminoacyl-tRNA synthetases). tRNAs cope with the degeneracy of the genetic code in two manners: having more than one tRNA (with a specific anti-codon) for a particular amino acid; and 'wobble' base-pairing, i.e. permitting non-standard base-pairing at the 3rd anti-codon position. The record is from RNAcentral. Lineage: Eukaryota; Viridiplantae; Chlorophyta; Mamiellophyceae; Dolichomastigales.